GCAGUAAUAGCGGAGUACUCAGCAUGGAGAAUGAGUGGACCAGUCGCCAGAUUUCUCCACUGGAUAUGCUUGCCUCAGCAGCAAUAUCUCACCCUUACAUGGAAGAAGCAAAUGGACAGAGAACUAAAUGAACAAUUGAAAGUCUGAUUGUUUCAAAACAGAUGGCCGCAAGGUCGGCCUUCAAGAAGCAAGAACACAGAUGGACACUGCAGGAAAUCAACAUUGAAAACAUGGCACCAGUGAAUGAAGAACUUUAUAACGAUGACAAUCAUCUGCGACAAACAGGAUCAUGUUCUGCUGCAAUAGAUGAGCUACAGGCUGAGACAAGUCAAGUUAAAAAAAAUUCAACAUGAGGUACCCAGAAGAAGUGGAAAGGGGUGGAUGUAGGUAUACAGUGCGACCUACUGAAACCGCCACCAGAGCCUGAGAGCCCAGAUAUCAGUGAUGACGAUAUGCCUUCUGAUGAAGAGAGCCCUGAACCCAUUAAUGGAAGUGAUCCCGAUUACAUUCCUGAAGAAGGCAGUGAUUCGGAAGAUUAUAUCAUGGAAGAAGCUGCUACUGGAGAUGUUAAGACUGAGAGGGCAUUUCUUGUGUAUGAAUCAUCACUGCUACAAUUGUUCCACCAUUCCUCAGGAUGUCAGUCUGUGUGUAGUGUCUGUGGAGAGAGUCUUUGGUUCAGCCAUUACUGUCUAUCAGAGGUGCAUGGGAUGUGGGGUUGACAGGCGAUGGAACAGCCAACCAAAUGUAAAGGACACACCUGCUGGGAACCUGAUGAUUUCUUCGGCGCUGCUUUUUAGUGGCUGCAGUAUCAGCAAAGUUCUCCUGUUUUUUAGACAUUUAUGAGCAACGGAGGAAAGUGGUUGAAGACAUUAAGAUGAAGAGAGGAGGACUGAUCACUGCAUCGGGAGAUGCACGUUGUGACAGUCCAGGUCAUAGUGCCAAAUACGGAUCAUAUACUUUGUUGGAUAAUAGCAUUAACAAAGUUGUAAAGUUCCAAUUUAUCAUGGUUACAGAAGUAUCAAGCAGCAGUGCCAUGGAGAAAGAGGGGCUUGUUCAUGCUAUAAAAGCAGUGGAGGCAGAAGGGCUAAAAUUAUAAAGCCUUACUACCGACAGACAUGCAUCAAUACGGAAAUACCUCCGUGAAGAGUGCAAGGAUAUCAAGCACUCAUUAGAUGUGUGGCAUGCAGCUAAAGGCUUGGGCAAAAAGAUUGACCAGCUGGGAAAGCAGAAGGGAUGCAAAAAGGUCCUUGCAUGGAAGAAGUCGGUGGUCAAUCACGUGUAUUGGACAGCAAGCUCAACAUCCUAGGCAGAACUGGAAGUUCUGUCAGCGAAAUGGAAGUCAGUAGUGAACCACAUUCGAGAUAUCCAUCAUCAUGAUAAUGAAAUCUUCCCAGAUUACCUUCAUGAUGAUGGGGACACUGAUAAGUUUGUGGACAUCCUUACCAGCAAGCCCAUGCUGAAAGAUAUCGAGAUGCUAUCUAGUGGUCAGCAGACUUCAGCCCUAGAAUCGUAUCAUUCAGUUGUGAAUCAUUUUGCCCCAAAGAUACUUCAUUUUUCAUACAGUAGGAUGAAAGCUCGGCUGAUAUUAUCUGCGUUACAUUUUAAUGAGAACGCUGACAGACAGCAAGCUGUCACCAAGGGUGGCCAAGAGCAGUAUCAGACUGUCUUUCCUAAAUAUAAAAAAGGAGAGCACAUUGUUUAGAAGACCUUAGUACCAUGCACAUAUGUUUAUGUGGACCUGCUGAAGACAUUUGUGUUUGAAGCUACUGAGUGAGGUGAAAAGGCUGGACCAAAGGCAGACUGCCCUCCUCCCAUGUGCCAUCAGUACAGCAAGCUGGAAAAAGAAGAAGCAGUGCAACUCCACAGGAGCAGAUUCUGCAGUGUUACUCCAUAAGACCAGACAAGCAAUCCAUACACAUCCUGUUAUAGCAAUGACAAUAACCUACUUAUCAGGUGACAUUGGGCAUACCUAACAACCUGUGUUUUCUCUCUCUUUCUCCCCCCCACCCCUUCCCCUGUCUGUACCUCUCAGUUACAUGUCAAACCUGAGAUCAAGAUGCUGACCUCUUCUGCUCCUCGGACCUGCCUGAUCCAUCCUGAUGCCCUACGUCUUGUUGGAGUCUCAUCACAUCGUUCCUGUGGAGGACGGCCCCAUAUGGACAGUUGAAAGUCACACUUGGAUGAUGCUCUGGACACUUACAGUAAUGCUUUUAUGGCUGAGGACUGCAGUUGUCAUGAACAGUUUUGCACUCAAGUUUACAUCAAUGAAGAGUUAUAACAUCAAUGAAACUGACUUCAUGUUAAAACCAUUAAAAAUGUUAUCAUGUUGUCUGUUAUCACUCAAAUGAGGAUGGUUUCCCUUUUGAGUCUGGUUCCUCUCGAGAUUUCUUCCUCAUGUCGUCAGAGAGAGUUUUUCCUUGCCACCAUCUGUGCAGGCUUGCUCACUGGGGAUAGAUUAGGCUAGGGAUAAAAUUAGCUUAGCGACAAUGUCUAUUGUUAAAAGUGCUUUAAAACUAUAUUUGACUAGACAUUCGCUAUGGUUCCACUGUUAGUUUCACCAACUUGAAUCAACAAAUAAAUGAAAGGGUAGUCAAAAUUAAAGUCCACAUCACCACAUUGAUCACCGAAAACUGAACAUAUUUCCACUUUCUUGAACAUACAGUUAGGCCCAGAAAUAUUUGGACAGUGACAAUUUUCAUGAUUUGGGCUCUGCAUGCCACCACUUUGGAUUUGAAAUGAAACAGCUGAAAUGCAAUUGAACUGCAGACUUUCAGGUUUAAUUCAAGGGGUUGAACAAAAAUAUCCUAUGAAUUGCAACAAUUUUUCUACAAAGUCUCCUCAUUUCAGGGGCUCAAAAGUAAUUAGACAAAUUAACAUUUCCAUAAAUAAAUUGUUCAUUUUCAAUACUUUGUUGCGAAUCCUUUGCAGGCAAUUAGUUAAAUGGAAUAACUGAAUUUAUGGAAGCUCCUGAACAGGUGACUAAUUAAAAAAUUAAGCAGAUAUUAGUCCUGGUACCUGUGAUACUCCCCAGUGGGACUUGGAAAUGUUUCUCAAAUUUUCAAGACAGCACAUACAGGGAGAACAGGCCGAAUGUCCCAGCCAAGAAAUUUCCAGUUCCAGCGGCACAUCUGAUGAUAUGCAAUAUGUCUAUCUCCUGUUGAUGCAAAAAGAAAAAGUGUUUAAUGAAAGUUAUGAAGAUAGACUGAACAUGGACUUAGCAUAUACAUUGUUAUUUGAAAGGACUCAUUCUAUGUUUAUCCCUUUGGAUGUAUUAUUGUUGCAUCUCAAACACCAACUGUCACUGAAAAUAUUCUGCUAAA
Long non-coding RNA from Neoarius graeffei (lesser salmon catfish), 3320 nucleotides. RefSeq lists it as uncharacterized. The record is from RefSeq and is a predicted model, not a curated record. NCBI's taxonomy places the organism in Eukaryota, Metazoa, Chordata, Actinopteri, Siluriformes, Ariidae. The transcript has 10 exons.